This 85-nucleotide non-coding RNA is filed under the name uncultured Faecousia sp. Its description in RNAcentral is "ZMP/ZTP riboswitch". It matches the Rfam family "ZMP/ZTP riboswitch aptamer (pfl RNA motif)", at positions 6 to 81 of the family's 86-position model. From Rfam's summary of the family: Previously known as pfl RNA. ZMP is also known as AICAR. Lineage: Bacteria; Bacillati; Bacillota; Clostridia; Eubacteriales; Oscillospiraceae. The record is from RNAcentral.
CUCCCGUGACUGGCGGAAAGGUGGAGUACCACCGGGAAAUGGAAGGCGUAAGGCCGUAUAUCCGGCAGCCGACCGCCUGGGCGCA